Molecule: ribosomal RNA, 481 nt
Filed under: uncultured bacterium
Lineage: Bacteria
Description: partial 16S ribosomal RNA
Rfam family: Bacterial small subunit ribosomal RNA
Source: RNAcentral
GACGAACGCUGGCGGCGUGCUUAACACAUGCAAGUCGAACGGUAAGGCCCUUUCGGGGGUACACGAGUGGCGAACGGGUGAGUAACACGUGAGGAACCUGCCCUUGACUCUGGGAUAACAGUGGGAAACUUCUGCUAAUACCGGAUAUUCAGAUUCUGCCGCAUGGUGGGGUUUGGAAAGCUUUUGUGGUCAAGGAUGGUCUCGCGGCCUAUCGGCUUGUCGGUGAGGUAAUGGCUUACCAAGGCUUCGACGGGUAGCCGGCCUGAGAGGGCGACCGGCCACAUUGGGACUGAGAUACGGCCCAGACUCCUACGGGAGGCAGCAGUGGGGAAUAUUGCACAAUGGGCGAAAGCCUGAUGCAGCAACGCCGCGGGCGGGAUGACGGCCUUCGGGUUGUAAACCGCUUUCAGUAGGGACGAAGCGUAAGUGACGGUACCUACAGAAGAAGCACCGGCUAACUACGUGCCAGCCGCCGCCGUAA